UACAUAGGGGGCAAGCGUUAUUCGGCGUUACUGGGCGUAAAGCGCGUGUAGGCGGGAAGGUAAGUCUGAUGUGAAAGCCCUGGGCUCAACCUGGGAAGUGCAUUGGAUACUGCUUUUCUUGAGUUCUGGAGAGGAUGGGGGAAUUCCCGGUGUAGAGGUGAAAUUCGUAGAGAUCGGGAGGAAUAUCAGUGGCGAAGGCGCCCAUCUGGACGGCAACUGACGCUGAGACGCGAAAGCGUGGGGAGCAAAUAGG
This 253-nucleotide ribosomal RNA is filed under the name uncultured bacterium. RNAcentral's name for it is "partial 16S ribosomal RNA". It matches the Rfam family "Bacterial small subunit ribosomal RNA", at positions 524 to 776 of the family's 1533-position model. The record is from RNAcentral.